ACGCUGGCGGCAGGCCUAACACAUGCAAGUCGAGCGGUAGAGAGAAGCUUGCUUCUCUUGAGAGCGGCGGACGGGUGAGUAAUGCCUAGGAAUCUGCCUGGUAGUGGGGGAUAACGUUCGGAAACGGACGCUAAUACCGCAUACGUCCUACGGGAGAAAGCAGGGGACCUUCGGGCCUUGCGCUAUCAGAUGAGCCUAGGUCGGAUUAGCUAGUUGGUGAGGUAAUGGCUCACCAAGGCGACGAUCCGUAACUGGUCUGAGAGGAUGAUCAGUCACACUGGAACUGAGACACGGUCCAGACUCCUACGGGAGGCAGCAGUGGGGAAUAUUGGACAAUGGGCGAAAGCCUGAUCCAGCCAUGCCGCGUGUGUGAGGAAGGUCUUCGGAUUGUAAAGCACUUUAAGUUGGGAGGAAGGGUUGUAGAUUAAUACUCUGCAAUUUUGACGUUACCGACAGAAUAAGCACCGGCUAACUCUGUGCCAGCAGCCGCGGUAAUACAGAGGGUGCAAGCGUUAAUCGGAAUUACUGGGCGUAAAGCGCGCGUAGGUGGUUUGUUAAGUUGGAUGUGAAAUCCCCGGGCUCAACCUGGGAACUGCAUUCAAAACUGACUGACUAGAGUAUGGUAGAGGGUGGUGGAAUUUCCUGUGUAGCGGUGAAAUGCGUAGAUAUAGGAAGGAACACCAGUGGCGAAGGCGACCACCUGGACUAAUACUGACACUGAGGUGCGAAAGCGUGGGGAGCAAAC
RNAcentral lists this ribosomal RNA (745 nucleotides) under uncultured bacterium. Its description in RNAcentral is "bacterial SSU rRNA". It matches the Rfam family "Bacterial small subunit ribosomal RNA", at positions 33 to 773 of the family's 1533-position model. The record is from RNAcentral.